UACGGGGGGGGCAAGCGUUGUUCGGAAUUACUGGGCGUAAAGGGCUCGUAGGCGGCCAACUAAGUCAGACGUGAAAUCCCUCGGCUUAACCGGGGAACUGCGUCUGAUACUGGAUGGCUUGAGGUUGGGAGAGGGAUGCGGAAUUCCGCGUGUAGCAGUGAAAUGCGUAGAUAUGCGGAGGAACACCGAUGGCGAAGGCAAUCCCCUGGACCUGUACUGACGCUCAUGCACGAAAGCGUGGGGAGCAAACAGG
Molecule: ribosomal RNA, 253 nt
Filed under: uncultured bacterium
Lineage: Bacteria
Description: partial 16S ribosomal RNA
Rfam family: Bacterial small subunit ribosomal RNA
Source: RNAcentral